AGAUCAUGGACAGCAUUCUGAUUUCAAAUCCCUCUCGCGGUAUUUUAAUGUCAUCCGUUUCUCAGUUCCUGCAACUCAGCAUUACGUUGAACACUUUGUCAAAAAUGAUUGAGAUGGCCAAUCAAAUCAAAAAAGGCGAGUGCCACUGGCCAAUCACAUAACAGAAGACGAGCUUUCCUGUUAACGGAAGCCGAGCGGCGGCCAAUCAAAUUAACCAAUAGGCGGGGUUACCGUCGGAGUAGCAGUUACACCGCGUCAAUCAAUCAUAACGGACACGGACACACAGAUUUCAAAGGCAGCAGGAUGAAAGAUAUGUGUCUGUGUUCAUCAAGACAUGAAGACUCUGGAGUGGGACAAGAGAAGGAUGAUGGGGUGUAUAUUCAAAUAGACACAUUAAGUCACAUUGUGAUUUCAGUGAAAGCUGAUAAAUACAGAGGGCUGGACAGUGGUUUCAUUCAUUAGGUAAAGAGGUGGGACAAGGAUGCUGACAGGACAGGAGGAGGUGACAUUCAGGUUAGUGACAGUACAUCAGGGCCACCAUUUAAUUUAAUGUUAAUUUAAUUGCUUCCAAAAUCAAUACUUGACAAAUCUUUAGAAUUAUAUCUGCAAAGCUGAAUUUCUCAUAGGUGGAUAAAGUAUGACAGCAAUUGUGAAGACCUUAGACGUGCAGUAUAUGGUUCUUCUCUCUUUCAUUUAU
Paramisgurnus dabryanus is the source of this 697-nucleotide non-coding RNA. The record is from RefSeq and is a predicted model, not a curated record. Lineage: Eukaryota; Metazoa; Chordata; Actinopteri; Cypriniformes; Cobitidae.